This 303-nucleotide unclassified non-coding RNA is filed under the name Hevea brasiliensis (rubber tree). Lineage: Eukaryota; Viridiplantae; Streptophyta; Magnoliopsida; Malpighiales; Euphorbiaceae. The record is from RNAcentral.
GUUGCGGAACAUUUCAAGAGGGGCUUUGAACCACAAUGGUUGUCCUUGACUUUCUCUAAGGCUAUAUUUCUUGGUAAUGGUCUCAUUGCCAUUAUCUCUGGGUUGUUUGCAAACUUACUGGCCGAAAACUUGGGUUUUGGUCCUGUUUCCCCCUUCGAUGCUGCUGCAUUCUUCCUCGCAAUUGGUAUGGUCAUUAUCUUAACAUCUUGGGGUGAAAACUAUGGGGAUGCUUCGGAGAACAAGAGUUUACUUUCCCAAUUCAAGGGUGCUGCUGUGGCAAUUGCUUCUGAUGAGAAAAUUGCA